Molecule: ribosomal RNA, 470 nt
Filed under: uncultured bacterium
Lineage: Bacteria
Description: partial 16S ribosomal RNA
Rfam family: Bacterial small subunit ribosomal RNA
Source: RNAcentral
GACGAACGCUGGCGGCGUGCUUAACACAUGCCAGUCGAACGAUGAAGCGGUGCUUGCACCGUGGAUUAGUGGCGAACGGGUGAGUAAUACGUGAGUGACCUACCUUUGACUCUGGGAUAAGCCUGGGAAACUGGGUCUAAUACCGGAUACGACCAAUCUCUGCAUGGGGUGUUGGUGGAAAGCGUUAUGGAGUGGUUUUAGAUGGGCUCACGGCCUAUCAGCUUGUUGGUGAGGUAAUGGCUUACCAAGGCGACGACGGGUAGCCGGCCUGAGAGGGUGACCGGCCACACUGGGACUGAGACACGGCCCAGACUCCUACGGGAGGCAGCAGUGGGGAAUAUUGCACAAUGGGCGCAAGCCUGAUGCAGCGACGCCGCGUGAGGGAUGACGGCCUUCGGGUUGUAAACCUCUGUUAGCAUCGAAGAAGCGAAAGUGACGGUAGGUGCAGAGAAAGCGCCGGCUAACUACGU